AAAACCUGAAUGGUGUAAAUGUAGGUACACUAGAACCUAAUCCUCCGACAUGCUGACCAUUUCUAUUAAUAGUUGGUAUGAAGCUCGGUGAAGUCACAUAAAAAUCGACCUGAGAUGGUAGUUAGUAAUGUGGGGUGCUAUAAA
This 144-nucleotide non-coding RNA is filed under the name Clostridioides difficile. Lineage: Bacteria; Bacillati; Bacillota; Clostridia; Peptostreptococcales; Peptostreptococcaceae. The record is from RNAcentral.